This 254-nucleotide ribosomal RNA is filed under the name uncultured bacterium. RNAcentral's name for it is "partial 16S ribosomal RNA". It matches the Rfam family "Bacterial small subunit ribosomal RNA", at positions 524 to 776 of the family's 1533-position model. The record is from RNAcentral.
UACGGGGGGAGCAAGCGUUGUUCGGAUUUACUGGGCGUAAAGGGCGCGUAGGCGGCCACCGCAAGUCGACUGUGAAAUCUCCGGGCUUAACCCGGAAAGGUCAGCCGAUACUGCGGGGCUAGAGUGCAGAAGGGGCAACUGGAAUUCUCGGUGUAGCGGUGAAAUGCGUAGAUAUCUGGAGGAAUACCGGUGGCGAAGGCGGCAUCCUGGACCGGCAUUGACGCUGAGGAGCGAAAGCCAGGGGAGCAAACGGG